RNAcentral lists this ribosomal RNA (425 nucleotides) under uncultured bacterium. RNAcentral describes it as "partial 16S ribosomal RNA". It matches the Rfam family "Bacterial small subunit ribosomal RNA", at positions 354 to 796 of the family's 1533-position model. The record is from RNAcentral.
GUGGGGAAUAUUGGACAAUGGGGGCAACCCUGAUCCAGCCAUGCCGCGUGAAUGAUGAAGGCCUUCGGGUUGUAAAGUUCUUUUGGAGGGGACGAUGAUGACGGUACCCUCAGAAUAAGCUCCGGCUAACUUCGUGCCAGCAGCCGCGGUAAUACGAAGGGAGCUAGCGUUGUUCGGAAUUACUGGGCGUAAAGGGCGCGUAGGCGGUUUGGUUAGUCAGAUGUGAAAGCCCAGGGCUUAACCCUGGAACUGCGUUUGAUACUGCCAAGCUUGAAUUCGGGAGAGGUGAGUGGAAUUCCCAGUGUAGAGGUGAAAUUCGUAGAUAUUGGGAAGAACACCGGUGGCGAAGGCGGCUCACUGGACCGACAUUGACGCUGAGGCGCGAAAGCGUGGGGAGCAAACAGGAUUAGAAACCCCUGUAGUCC